AAGAUCGUCAAAAUUAAUCUCAUUUAUAUCUGAUCUGCUUUCAUUAACUACUGGUUUUUAUAGAGUGAGGUUGGAAUAUUUAUUUUUGCAAUGAAUAAGUUGCUUUUGGUUUUGUUAUUGGUAGGCUGCAUCACCAUGGCGAUGCUUCCUGACGUAGCAGAAGCCCAAUACCGACCUGGUGGUGGUGGACGUUGUAGCUGCAGAUAUAGUUGUUGGUAUGGAGAAUAUUCAAGAGGACACUGUGGGUACGGAAGACAGCUUUGUUGUAGAAGACGAUGGGGAGGAUGGGAUUAAAGUGGUUCAAUUUAUUCAUCAGAGUUACCAGAUAUUUUGUCUACAAGAAAUGAAGGAAAAGAAAAACAUAUUAAAACUGAUUCAUUUUGUGAUUUACUGAAUAAAAA
This is a long non-coding RNA of Ruditapes philippinarum (Manila clam), 401 nucleotides long. RefSeq lists it as uncharacterized. The record is from RefSeq and is a predicted model, not a curated record. Lineage: Eukaryota; Metazoa; Mollusca; Bivalvia; Venerida; Veneridae. The transcript has 3 exons.